AGCUUGCUUCUGAUUGAUAACAUUUGAGUGAGUGGCGGACGGGUGAGUAACACGUGGGUAACCUGCCCUAAAGUGGGGGAUAACAUUUGGAAACAGAUGCUAAUACCGCAUAAAACCUAGCACCGCAUGGUGCAAGGUUGAAAGAUGGUUUCGGCUAUCACUUUAGGAUGGACCCGCGGUGCAUUAGUUAGUUGGUGAGGUAAAGGCUCACCAAGACCGUGAUGCAUAGCCGACCUGAGAGGGUAAUCGGCCACACUGGGACUGAGACACGGCCCAGACUCCUACGGGAGGCAGCAGUAGGGAAUCUUCCACAAUGGACGAAAGUCUGAUGGAGCAACGCCGCGUGAGUGAAGAAGGUUUUCGGAUCGUAAAACUCUGUUGUUGGAGAAGAACGUAUUUGAUAGUAACUGAUCAGGUAGUGACGGUAUCCAACCAGAAAGCCACGGCUAACUACGUGCCAGCAGCCGCGGUAAUACGUAGGUGGCAAGCGUUGUCCGGAUUUAUUGGGCGUAAAGCGAGCGCAGGCGGUUUCUUAAGUCUGAUGUGAAAGCCUUCGGCUCAACCGAAGAAGUGCAUCGGAAACUGGGAAACUUGAGUGCAGAAGAGGACAGUGGAACUCCAUGUGUAGCGGUGAAAUGCGUAGAUAUAUGGAAGAACACCAGUGGCGAAGGCGGCUGUCUGGUCUGUAACUGACGCUGAGGCUCGAAAGCAUGGGUAGCAAACAGGAUUAGAUACCCUGGUAGUCCAUGCCGUAAACGAUGAGUGCUAGGUGUUGGAGGGUUUCCGCCCUUCAGUGCCGCAGCUAACGCAUUAAGCACUCCGCCUGGGGAGUACGACCGCAAGGUUGAAACUCAAAGGAAUUGACGGGGGCCCGCACAAGCGGUGGAGCAUGUGGUUUAAUUCGAAGCAACGCGAAGAACCUUACCAGGUCUUGACAUCCUUUGACCACUCUAGAGAUAGAGCUUUCCCUUCGGGGACAAAGUGACAGGUGGUGCAUGGUUGUCGUCAGCUCGUGUCGUGAGAUGUUGGGGUUAAGUCCCGCAACGAGCGCCACCCUUAUUACUAGUUGCCAGCAUUUAGU
RNAcentral lists this ribosomal RNA (1081 nucleotides) under Latilactobacillus curvatus. Its description in RNAcentral is "bacterial SSU rRNA". It matches the Rfam family "Bacterial small subunit ribosomal RNA", at positions 65 to 1129 of the family's 1533-position model. The record is from RNAcentral. Lineage: Bacteria; Bacillati; Bacillota; Bacilli; Lactobacillales; Lactobacillaceae.